AGAGUUUGAUCCUGGCUCAGAACGAACGCUGGCGGCGUGCUUAACACAUGCAAGUCGAACGCGAAAGAGGUCUUCGGACCUCUCUAGAGUGGCGCACGGGUGAGUAACGCGUAGAUAAUCUACCCCCAUAUUUGGGAUAACAGCUCGAAAGGGCUGCUAAUACCGGAUACACUUAUUUGGACGCGAGUUUGAAUGAGGAAAGGUGACCUCUCCAUGGAAGUUACUGUAUAGGGAUGAGUCUGCGUACCAUUAGCUAGUAGGUAGGGUAAAGGCCUACCUAGGCGACGAUGGUUAGCGGGUCUGAGAGGAUGAUCCGCCACACUGGAACUGGAACACGGACCAGACUCCUACGGGAGGCAGCAGUGAGGAAUAUUGCGCAAUGGGGGAAACCCUGACGCAGCGACGCCGCGUGGGUGAUGAAGGCCUUCGGGUUGUAAAGCCCUGUCAGGUGGGAAGAAGUGUGUCAUGGCUAAUAUCCAUGACAUUUGACGGUACCACCAAAGGAAGCACCGGCUAACUCCGUGCCAGCAGCCGCGGUAAUACGGAGGGUGCAAGCGUUGUUCGGAUUUACUGGGCGUAAAGGGCGCGUAGGCGGUCUUAUAAGUCAUAUGUGAAAGCCCACGGCUCAACCGUGGAAGUGCAUGUGAAACUGUGAGACUUGAGUAUGGGAGAGGAAAGUGGAAUUCCCGGUGUAGAGGUGAAAUUCGUAGAUAUCGGGAGGAAUACCGGUGGCGAAGGCGACUUUCUGGACCAAUACUGACGCUGAGGCGCGAAAGCGUGGGUAGCAAACAGGAUUAGAUACCCUGGUAGUCC
RNAcentral lists this ribosomal RNA (813 nucleotides) under uncultured bacterium. RNAcentral describes it as "bacterial SSU rRNA". It matches the Rfam family "Bacterial small subunit ribosomal RNA", at positions 8 to 796 of the family's 1533-position model. The record is from RNAcentral.